This is a long non-coding RNA of Mercenaria mercenaria, 7322 nucleotides long. RefSeq lists it as uncharacterized. Lineage: Eukaryota; Metazoa; Mollusca; Bivalvia; Venerida; Veneridae. The transcript is spliced from 10 exons. The record is from RefSeq and is a predicted model, not a curated record.
UUUAUUUGGUAACAGACUGUUUCCAGAUGUAUUUAACCUUGUCCUUAUCUCAUGUAAAUCAUACAUUUAUUCAUGUAAAUUGAAAAAUGCUUGCCAAACUUAGAAAGACUUAAAAAGUGUAUUAAAUAUUUAUUUAAAGUAAAUAAACACAAUGCAGCUAAAACUUUUAAGUUACAAAAUUUUGAAAGUCAAUGGAGACAUCUCCUCCAAUUGAUAGAUUAGAAAUUCUUUGAAAAGAAAUUAUUGUGGUUACUAUUAUACCAGAUUUAUAUAAAUGCCGCUUCCUUUCUACCUUUUAUACUCUUAUAUCAAAAGAUUCAAAGUUAAAGCGCUUCUAUAUUGUUUGUAUCAGGUUAAAAAUAGGUUGCCCACUCCCUUCAAAUAAACACCCGGUCACACAGAUAGAAGACUCACACGCUAAAAUUCCUUGCCUUUUUAUUUUCUUUUCCUUUCUAUUUUUGUUGUUGUUGUUGUUUUUUCUCCUGGAGUACUGUUGUAUUGUGUUCAAUAUAUUACAGUAUCAACUGACAAUCUUGCCUUACAAACUAGAUUCUGUGCCCUUUUGUUGUCUUUUUUUCUCUCUUUAACUCGGUGAAUAUUUCUAUUGUCUUAAACAAACUGAAGAAAUUGUUAUUAAGAAUAAGAAAUAUUAUCGUAAAGAUAAUUUAAAAUUUUAAGGAAUGAAAAACAACAAAAAAAAAUAAUUUUUGUUUUAUAUCAAUUUCUUAGCUUUUUAACACAUCCAUGCAAAGGGAAACAACUUAGUCAGAAAUAAUGUAUCAUUAAUAACAGCUUUUAUCUCCCUUCAGUUAUCUUGUAGUCAAAUGGUAUCUUUGAUGGCAAAAGAAUAUUCACGACUGUUGUUGCUGUUAUUCACUGACUUUGUCAUUAUGUAUAAUGUGCAGUUAUCUGUUUGUAAUUCAACAUAUCAGCCUACUGAAAGAUUCAUGCUUUAUUAUGUGAACAUGUAAAAGGAGAUAAAAUAUAAAUUACAAAAAAAUAAUAAAAAAUAUUUUGGUCUGGAGCGUUUUCUUAUCCUGGAAGUGAAAACGAUCAGUUUUGUAAGUUUGGUUGUUCUCGAUCGAUCUACAUAGACUGUGAGUCUUUCUACUGAUUGUCAAGCUUUUCGUGUAAGUGUUGUUCCGAUGAAAACAAGUAUUUUAAAAUAACUUUGAUAGUUUUAAUUGCAAGUGAGACAUUUAUGUUUAACAAAGUCUUGUUGCUUUUUAGGUUGGUGUUUUUGUGGCAGAGAUAAAGUGGUGUAUAUAAGUUUAUAGAUGGGUCCACGUGUUUUCAGAUUUCUGCUGCAGCGUAAAAAAGGUUGUGUUCAAGUGACAAAGAUCAAAGAAACAGAUUACGGGUGGAUGUGUUUUUCAAAUAUGGAAUAUCAAAUAUCAUGCACAAAGGUGUUGUUAGAUCUGGAGCACAAACGGGUUACCAUGGAAACAUGCACCUACAUCUAAGUAGUGAUAUCAAUGGAUGACAGACGUCCAGUCGUACAGUUAUACAGCAGAUGUUGGGGCAUAUAGGGUGUGUAUAUUUACUUUAAUUUUCCGUUCUUUAGGCCACACUGUGAUAUGUUUGUUUCUGUUUAUACACAUACAUUUCUGUAUCAGUACACUCAACAGGGCUACCAUAGAGACGUAACACUACAUUUAGGCAGUGGUGCAAAUGGAAAACAGACAUUCAGAUCUACAAAGUUUUACGGCAGAUUCUGGAGUACUAAAGUGAGUAUAUUUACUUUUCCUAGCUUGUUGCCAAACUAUAGACAUAUUUAAUUAUAUUCUUACACAUGCAAUUUUGCAUCUAUACACUCAACAGGGUUACCAUGGAAACAUACUUCUAGGCAAUGGCAUAGAUGGAUGGCCGACGCCUGGAUCUACAAAGUUAUACAGCAUAUUUUGGAGAAUACAUGGUUUAGCACGGAAACGCAUGUCCACAGCAAUGCAAUGGUAUAAAUGGAUGACUGACGUUCAGAUGUACUAAGUUAUACAGCAAACUUUGGAGCAUAAAGGGUGUGUAAAUUUACUUUUCUUUUGAUGCGCAAUUUGUAUAAAGGUAAUACUAAGAUUAUAUAUGUUUGUUUCUGUUCUUACACAUGCCUGUCUGUAUCUUAUACACACAACAGGUUUAGCACGGAAAGGCAUGUCCACAGCAAUGCAAUGGUAUAAAUGGAUGACUGACGUUCUGAUGUACUAAGUUACACAGCAAACUUUGGAGCAUAAAGGGUGUGUAAAUUUACUUUUCUUUUGAUGCGCAAUUUGUAUAAAGGUAAUACUAAGAUUAUAUAUGUUUGUUUCUGUUCUUACACAUGCCUGUCUGUAUCUUAUACACACAACAGGUUUAGCACGGAAAGGCAUGUCCACAGCAAUGCAAUGGUAUAAAUGGAUGACUGACGUUCUGAUGUACUAAGUUACACAGCAAACUUUGGAGCAUAAAGGGUGUGUAUAUUUACUUUUCCUUUGAUGCGUAUAAAGGUAAUACUAAGAUUAUAUAAUAUUAUGUUUGUUUCUGUUCUUACACAUGCAUUUCUCUAUCUAUACACUCAACAGGGUUACCAUGGAAACGUACCUCUUCAUCUAGGCAAAUUUAUCAACUGAUGGCCGUCGUUCAAGUCCCUGGCAAAGAGAGGAAUCUAGCUGUCGACCAAGUGCUACAGGCUUAGGUUUAAAUAAUUUAAGCCUUGCUAAGACCUGAAAAUGAAUGUCAGGUAAAACUGAAACAAAAGUAAAAUAACUGGAUGCACUUAGAGAGCACGUAAUCUAUCUUUUAUAUUUUCGCUUCGUAAUACUGUAUGUUUAGUGUUUGCUGUUUUGUCAGGGGUUUGUUUACAGUGGCUACUUGGUUGUGUUUGUGGUGGUGUUUGUUGUGGUGUUUGUUGUGUGUUUGUUGUGGUGUUUUGUGUUUAUGGAGGUGUCUGCGGUGGUUUUAAUGUGGUUUUCUCGGUUUUAUUCUUGAUGGCUGUGUUGUUUUGUUGAAGACGGGUAUUUGGUGCGUUUUGUUUGUUGUAUUGGGUUCUUCGUCAUGGUGGUUUUCUUUCUGCCAUUACCAAUGUAUUAUUACUCGCUUUGUAUACUGUAGAAAAUUAUUAGAAUAAGUUCAAUAUUACAUUGUGUUAUAGUAACUUUACUUGUCCAGCAAAUUUUAGAUACCCGGAAACACAUAUGAAGAUAUAUGCAGACGAACAGGCAUCGUGUGCAGACGACAGCUUGGACUGGGUAAGAGUGCGCCAUUGUUUUAUUUCUGCUUUUUAUUCCAUUUGUUUUGCAUUGCUUUUUUCCAAGUUAUAUACAAGCAGAUGUAAAGAUGUCGCAUUGUAGAUGACACAAUGGUCUAGUGGAUAGUGAAGAUAGCGCGGCUGAUGUUGACUGUACAGACAAGCGUAACUAAGAUGUCAUGAUGUAGAAGUGGACGACUCAGAUUGGUUCUUCUUCUCGGACGCACUGAGUAUUCAGUCAGCAGAGCAUAACUUUCAACAUUCAGAAAGCAAAGGUCAACAGGGAGUAAUUCAGUAGCAUGGGAAUGUGGACACAGAUCCUGUUUUUUUUGUGAAAGAAAUACUUCAAAUGUCCGACGAGAAGCAAUUUCUUGGAUUAUACACGAAGAAAAUGUUAGUUGAUGGAACAAUAGUGGCAGUAGAACGACCUUGCUGGUAUCCUAACGAAGCCGGUCACCAGAUGUGCAUAGAAACCCUAUCGAACCCUUGCGUUAACAUGGUAAUCAGCCGUUAUCAACAAGGCAAGAUAGUGCAUGGUUAUAGUGGAAUUCAAGCCUUGGUGGACCUUUCUUCGGUAUUUGUCCCGUCUUGUUGAUGGUAGACAGCUGUUCCACACCUCGUACACAACAGAGAAACCCCCUCGGACGAAGACUUCGUUUAGAUCUAAAAGGCAAGGAGACAGUGUUUGCCAUUAUUGAAAGACAAAGAAAAAGAAGCCAUGACAGAAAACACAUAUCACCGUACCGGCUUGUCUUUAAUGUUUCCAACCGCUGACAGGCCGAUGUAAGCCAGAUUCACAAGUAAGACGUAUCUGCAGAAGGAAGAACUAAUUAUGGUAGAUCCACGAAAGUCCUGGCACAAGCAAACAUGGCACCACCACAGCCCCGACACAAGCCUUGUUAAACAGAAUAGAUAUGAACUGACAUGUAUAUAAUUAUACCCUCAUGUACAAAGUACAUGGGAUUAUAUUGGAGUCACACAUGUCGGCGGGUCCAUUCGUCCGUUCGCCUAUUUGUCCAUCAUGUCCGCUGGGAAGAUUAAAAAAAAAACUGGCUUCAUUUAUAAGCCUCAUCAAGAAUGUUCGUUGUGCUCAACCCAAGUCACUAGGCCCAAGGUCGGUAUUACUCUUGGAGGACAAAGUUCAAAUAACUUUAAUUUAGUGUCCGGUCCAUAUUGUCUAAACUGCAACGAAUAUUUAGGUCAGACAUUCGUUUUGUACUCGCCCUGCCUUCAGGGUCACUGUCACCGUUGCAUUCAGGUUAAAUUUUUAUAUGAUUCUCAAAGUCACUAUAUAUUUUUAACUGCCCAUAGCAUCACUAGCAUCAAACUUCACACGAGGGUUGAUUGUGGUAAUACGCAGACAUUUAUUUGUUAGGGGUCAAGCAUCCAAAAGGUCGAAGUUACUGGGGUCAUAUUUUGUAAUUAUGCUGGUUAAAUCUUAAAUUGUUUCUUAUAUCUUCUCAUUCACCCGCUCCUACCCCCUACCCUACCCCCAAAUGGAAAAGAGUCUUAUUGUUUCAUAACUCACGCUUACUUAUAUCCUAUAACAAUAAAUAUUGGUCAGCAUUUCCGAAUAGUCACGCGGGCUUUCCUUCCAACAGUUCUUGAUAUAAAAUUAGGAUUAGUAAAUAGAUGUAGGCACUCACAACCUAGUUCAUUAGGUCAAAGGUUAAGUUCUGACUUAAGAGACCGCACCAUAUUGUCUAAUCUAAUAAAGUAAGCACUAACUCUCAAUUCCAUCUAGCCGAAAUACGAAAAGCACAACACAUGCCAAAGGUUAAAGGUCAGUGUGACGCACAGGAGGUCAAAGGUCAAAUAGCUUUGUGUCUGCUACAUACCUUGUAACCCCAUUUUCCUUACACUCAUAAAACCACCUCAUUUUCCUUACACUCAUAAAACUAGCAAUAAAUAUCAAGAAGACCUGUAUAGAACCCAGAUUAUUUGAUCCAAGGUCAAGGUUACACUUGAAUGUCAAAAUGAUGACCAACGUUGACUUACCCUGCAUCAAAGCAGCGUCUGGGGGUAACAGUAGCUCGUUUAUCAUUUUAGCGGACUAAAUUUGUAAUUGUAUCAACCAUUUGGCAAAUAUUUCCUUAAUUUUAUGAUAAAUAUAUAAAACAAAAAUCAGGACAUUGUUUUUUGAACACUGAUACAGUCGGACUAUUUUUAGACAUAACGAAUAUUUUAGCUUGGUUUGUUGUCAGUCAUGAUUUAAUGCAAGGUAUUUUUCUAAAUGAUAUUUUUGUUAUAAAUAGCACAUUUGACAUUCAUGUAAAAAAAUCAGGGACAGCGAAUUUUUAUAAGAAAAAAAUGAUUUGGUUAAAUAUUUCAAAAAGUGUCUCAAAUUUUUGCUCUUUUGAACAGUUGCGUUUUAACUGGUCAGGGAUAGUUUCAAAAAUAAAUAUGCGUAGUUUAGUUUAUGUAUAAAAAGCUACUUUUCGCAAAUUGUACAUUUUGGAGCGGGGCUAAAUUCCAGACUCUCAUAUAUUUUAAAACAUAUAGAAGACAUUUCUUUGCUUCAGUGUAAGCUCGAAAUAGAAACAUUCUGGUGUUCACACGUGAAAUUUUUUAAAAAGUAAUCACGGAUUUUAUUCUAAUGCAUUUUAUUAUUUUUAUUUUAUAUUUUCUGCCAACGUAACGUCAUACGCAAUGUGCAACGUUACUCUACAUUUAAUGGCAAUAUAUAUGUUGGAAAAAAGUGACAUAGUGACAUUUUAAUCUAUGUGUACUUCUGUUUUAAUUAAAAAGAUAUCCGAUUCUACGUUUUUUAUAUUCUUGCGUUAAAUUGUGGUUACAUACAAGUGAAAAUUAUAUUUGGAUUUCCCACCCUUAAACAGUGGCUUUAUCAGGAUAUAAUGCAUCGUUGUUUUCUUGAAACCUUCUCAAAAUUUGAUAUAUAAUUCCAUAUACUAGUAACUGCAGAAUGUACCGAUAAGACUGUAAUUCUUUUAUUCAAAUCCGCAUUCUAGUCCUUUGUCUGGGUCAUCUACAUGUUGCUUUUAAAAGUCAUUUUGGCCUCAUUUUUGUACACUGAAUUUUACACACUGUUUGGCAUAACUUUUAACCAACACCUAACUCUGAGCACUAACCUUAACCAUUUGGGGCUGAAGUGACUUUUAAAGCAACUUUGUCUUUUAUGGGAAUAAGACUAGCAUAUCUUUAUAUAUGAUAGGUAAAAUUGUUUGCAAACUUUCAAGAUUUUAGUCUAUCCUUUUAAUGGAGUACUGUAGUAUAACAUGAUAAAUUCAUUGUUUUAAACAGAGAGAAAUCCAAAUAUGAUGUUCACUAGAACGGAACUACACUUAAACGCGAAAGGAUAUGAAUUGUAAGGACGUGAAAUAUGCUUAAAAGCAACAAAGCUGUAUAGUAAUGCUUUCAAAAAAAACUAAAUACACGAGAAAAUCAUUGAAAUAUAAAAGAUUCUUAUACAUCUCUUAGACCUAUUGAACUUAUUUUCCAACAUAAGCAUUGUGACGUCAUGAAAUAUAGCGUGACGUUACCCAUAGCGCAUGUCUUUGCAUGGCUGAAUAAGAAAAGAUAGUAUGAAAAAUAAUUAGCCUAGUUUAACUCAACAAGACAUAAAGCAAUACAACAUUUAUGUGUAUACAUGUAAUUUGGUUAAAACUGUUAGAAGUUAAGAAUUAGAUAUCAACGUUUCAUAAUGAAUUAUUUUCACUUGGGAACGCCAGAUUAAGUUCACUCGGUGCUGAAAUAAACGAAUGUCUUCUAUACCUUUUACGAUAGCAAAUGGGUAAAACUUAAGGUGACAGAAAUAACUAAAACAAUCCCUUACCAUUUUGAAAUGACAGUCAGUUUCAUUUUUGGUGCAAAUAUUGUCUGUUAUACUGAUUUAUUAAUGAUACACAUUUUUGUACCUUGCAUUACAGUAACGUAGAUAUUUUAAAAUAUAAUUCCAAGUUUACCAUAUUUUCUCAAGGAGUUGAAUUCAAGGAAUUUUUGUACAUAUCGUAUUAAAUUGUAAAAUAAUAGUAUUUUAGAAGUAUUUUUAUUGUUUUAACUCUGUAGUUAUACUUUUCAAAUGUUAUUUGUGAUUAUUUUUUACAUUUCAUUUCUGUUUGAAAAAUGAAUAAAAUGAGAUACAGUU